RNAcentral lists this ribosomal RNA (371 nucleotides) under uncultured organism. RNAcentral's name for it is "bacterial SSU rRNA". It matches the Rfam family "Bacterial small subunit ribosomal RNA", at positions 526 to 896 of the family's 1533-position model. The record is from RNAcentral.
CGGAGGGUGCAAGCGUUAUCCGGAUUCACUGGGUUUAAAGGGUGCGUAGGUGGGUAAGUAAGUCAGUGGUGAAAUCUCCGGGCUUAACCCGGAAACUGCCAUUGAUACUAUUUGUCUUGAAUACUGUGGAGGUCAGCGGAAUAUGUCAUGUAGCGGUGAAAUGCUUAGAUAUGACAUAGAACACCAAUCGCGAAGGCAGCUGGCUACACAAAUAUUCGACACUGAGGCACGAAAGCGUGGGGAUCAAACAGGAUUAGAUACCCUGGUAGUCCACGCCCUAAACUAUGGAUAACUCGACAUUUGCGAUAAACUGCAAGUGUCUGAGCGAAAGCAUUAAGUAAUCCCACCUGGGAAGUACGAUCGCAAGAUUG